ACGGGUGAGUAACGCGUAGGUGACGUACCUAUUAGUGGGGGACAACACCGGGAAACCGGUGCUAAUACCGCAUAUUCUGAGUGAAAUUGGAAAAACUCAGCAAAGGGGCUUCGGUCUCGCUAAUAGAUUGGCCUGCGUAGCAUUAGCUUGAUGGUGGGGUAAUGGCCUACCAUGGCUUCGAUGCUUAACUGGUCUGAGAGGAUGAUCAGUCACACUGGAACUGAGACACGGUCCAGACUCC
RNAcentral lists this ribosomal RNA (241 nucleotides) under uncultured bacterium. Its description in RNAcentral is "partial 16S ribosomal RNA". It matches the Rfam family "Bacterial small subunit ribosomal RNA", at positions 102 to 339 of the family's 1533-position model. The record is from RNAcentral.